Molecule: ribosomal RNA, 519 nt
Filed under: uncultured eukaryote
Lineage: Eukaryota
Description: SSU rRNA
Rfam family: Eukaryotic small subunit ribosomal RNA
Source: RNAcentral
AGGGCACCACCAGGGGUGGAGCCUGCGGCUUAAUUUGACUCAACACGGGGAAACUCACCCGGCCAGGACACAAUAAGGAUUGACAGAUUGAUAGCUCUUUCUUGAUUUUGUGGGUGGUGGUGCAUGGCCGUUCUUAGUUGGUGGAGCGAUUUGUCUGGUUAAUUCCGAUAACGAACGAGACUCUAGCCUAUUAAAUAGACGAUAUAUUAUUAGUUUAUCGAGCUUCUUAGAGGGACAGGCAGCUUCUAGCUGCACGAGAUUGAGCAAUAACAGGUCUGUGAUGCCCUUAGAUGUCCGGGGCUGCACGCGCGCUACAAUGAUAAUAGCAGCGUGCAUUAAAACCUUUUCUGGUAAGAAUUGGUAAACACGAAAUAUUGUCGUGCUUGGGAUAGGGGAUUGAAAUUAUUGCCCUUAAACGAGGAAUUCCCAGUAAGUGCGAGUCAUUAGCUUGCGUUGAUUACGUCCCUGCCCUUUGUACACACCGCCCGUCGCUACUACCGAUUGGAAGAUUUAGUGAAU